RNAcentral lists this ribosomal RNA (301 nucleotides) under uncultured bacterium. Its description in RNAcentral is "partial 16S ribosomal RNA". It matches the Rfam family "Bacterial small subunit ribosomal RNA", at positions 509 to 807 of the family's 1533-position model. The record is from RNAcentral.
CAGUCGCCGCGGUAACACGAAGGGUGCAAGCGUUACUCGGAAUUACUGGGCGUAAAGCGUGCGUAGGUGGUGGUUUAAGUCCGUUGUGAAAGCCCUGGGCUCAACCUGGGAAUUGCAGUGGAUACUGGGUCACUAGAGUGUGGUAGAGGAUAGUGGAAUUUCCGGUGUAGCAGUGAAAUGCGUAGAGAUCGGAAGGAACAUCUGUGGCGAAGGCGACUAUCUGGGCCAACACUGACACUGAGGCACGAAAGCGUGGGGAGCGAACAGGAUUAGAUACCCGCGUAGUCCCUGUCUCUUAUAC